GCGGCUGUAGUUCAAUGGUAGAAUAUGAGCUUCCCAAGCUUAGGAUGUGAGUUCGAUUCUCAUCAGCCGCU
Non-coding RNA from Clostridiales bacterium, 71 nucleotides. NCBI's taxonomy places the organism in Bacteria, Bacillati, Bacillota, Clostridia, Eubacteriales. The record is from Rfam.